RNAcentral lists this ribosomal RNA (460 nucleotides) under uncultured bacterium. RNAcentral describes it as "partial 16S ribosomal RNA". It matches the Rfam family "Bacterial small subunit ribosomal RNA", at positions 338 to 795 of the family's 1533-position model. The record is from RNAcentral.
CCUACGGGAGGCAGCAGUGAGGAAUAUUGGUCAAUGGGCGUAAGCCUGAACCAGCCAAGUCGCGUGAGGGAUGAAUGUUCUAUGGAUCGUAAACCUCUUUUAUAAGGGAAUAAAGUGUGGGACGUGUCCUAUUUUGUAUGUACCUUAUGAAUAAGGAUCGGCUAACUCCGUGCCAGCAGCCGCGGUAAUACGGAGGAUCCGAGCGUUAUCCGGAUUUAUUGGGUUUAAAGGGUGCGUAGGCGGCCUGUUAAGUCAGCUGUGAAAGUCUGUGGCUCAACCAUAGAAUUGCCGUUGAAACUGGCAGGCUUGAGUAUGUUUGAGGCAGGCGGAAUGCGUGGUGUAGCGGUGAAAUGCUUAGAUAUCACACAGAACACCGAUUGCGAAGGCAGCUUGCUAGGCCGGAUCUGACAUUGAUGCACGAAAGUGUGGGGAUCGAACAGGAUUAGAUACCCGUGUAGUC